This 497-nucleotide ribosomal RNA is filed under the name uncultured bacterium. Its description in RNAcentral is "bacterial SSU rRNA". It matches the Rfam family "Bacterial small subunit ribosomal RNA", at positions 28 to 524 of the family's 1533-position model. The record is from RNAcentral.
GACGAACGCUGGCGGCGUGCUUAACACAUGCAAGUCGAACGAUGAAAGUCGUUUUGAUAUCUUCGGAUUGAUAAACUUCUGGAUUAGUGGCGGACGGGUGAGUAACGCGUGAGCAAUCUGCCUUACACAAAGGGAUAGCCUCGGGAAACCGGGAUUAAUACCAUAUGAUAUCUAUUCACCGCAUGGUUUAUAGAUUAAAGAAUUUCGGUGUAAGAUGAGCUCGCGUCCCAUUAAUUAGUUGGUGAGGGUAACGGCCCACCAAGAUAGCGAUGGGUAGCCGAUCUAAGAGGAUGACCGGCCACAUUGGAACUGAGAAACGGUCCAAACUCCUACGGGAGGCAGCAGUGGGGAAUAUUGCACAAUGGGGGAAACCCUGAUGCAGCGACGCCGCGUGAGCGAUGAAGGCUUUCGAGUCGUAAAGCUCUGUCCUAUGGGAAGAUAAUGACGGUACCAUAGAAGAAAGCCCCGGCUAAUUACGUGCCAGCAGCCGCGGUAAU